GAGCAGAUAGCCUAGUGCUUAGUGGCACCACAUCUAGAAUGCUGAGGUCCUGGGUUCAAAUCCUAGUCUAUUCA
Molecule: transfer RNA, 74 nt
Filed under: Cronartium comandrae C4
Lineage: Eukaryota; Fungi; Basidiomycota; Pucciniomycetes; Pucciniales; Coleosporiaceae
Description: tRNA-Leu (TAG) (tRNA-Leu-TAG-13-1, tRNA-Leu-TAG-13-2)
Rfam family: tRNA
About the family: Transfer RNA (tRNA) molecules are approximately 80 nucleotides in length. Their secondary structure includes four short double-helical elements and three loops (D, anti-codon, and T loops).
Source: RNAcentral